CGGCCACACUGGGACUGAGACACGGCCCAGACUCCUACGGGAGGCAGCAGUGGGGAAUAUUGCACAAUGGGCGCAAGCCUGAUGCAGCGACGCCGCGUGAGGGAUGACGGCCUUCGGUUGUAAACCUCUUUCAGUAGGGAAGAAGCGAAAGUGACGGUACCUGCAGAAGAAGCACCGGCUAACUACGUGCCAGCAGCCGCGGUAAUACGUAGGGUGCGAGCGUU
Molecule: ribosomal RNA, 224 nt
Filed under: uncultured bacterium
Lineage: Bacteria
Description: partial 16S ribosomal RNA
Rfam family: Bacterial small subunit ribosomal RNA
Source: RNAcentral